AAUUAGACAGAGCCGGGCAAUCUGGUGCCAGCCGCCGCGGUUACACCCACUGUGGCUCAAAUUGACUUCUUUCGGCGUAAAGCGUGCUUAAAGCCUAAAAUUUCUUGGAAUUAAACUGAAACUAAGCCGUGACACGCUUGUUACUCAAGAAAACCAAAAACGAAAGUUAUUCCAAUUUUCUCAACUUGAAUUCACGAUAACUAGGAAACAAACUGGGAUUAGAUACCCCACUAUGCCUAGUCGUAAACUUUAACUUACCCCUCCAUCGCCCGGGAACUACGAGCUAAGCUUAAAACCCAAAGGACUUGACGGUACCCCAUAUCCCCCUAGAGGAGCCUGUCCUAUAAUCGAUAACCCCCGUUUAACCUCACCAUUUUUUGCCAAUCAGCCUGUAUACCUCCGUCGUCAGCUUACCACGUGAGCGUCAGUGAGCCUAAUGUUUUUCCAACUAUACGUCAGGUCAAGGUGCAACAUAUAAAAUGGGAGAAGAUGGGCUACACUUUCU
This 505-nucleotide ribosomal RNA is filed under the name Ameerega petersi (Peruvian poison frog). RNAcentral's name for it is "partial 12S ribosomal RNA". It matches the Rfam family "Bacterial small subunit ribosomal RNA", at positions 481 to 1235 of the family's 1533-position model. The record is from RNAcentral. Lineage: Eukaryota; Metazoa; Chordata; Amphibia; Anura; Dendrobatidae.